Molecule: ribosomal RNA, 433 nt
Filed under: uncultured bacterium
Lineage: Bacteria
Description: partial 16S ribosomal RNA
Rfam family: Bacterial small subunit ribosomal RNA
Source: RNAcentral
AACGAACGCUGGCGGCAGGCCUAACACAUGCAAGUCGAGCGGACCCUUCGGGGUUAGCGGCGGACGGGUGAGUAACGCGUGGGAACGUGCCCUUUGCUUCGGAAUAGCCCUGGGAAACUGGGAGUAAUACCGGAUACGCCCUUUUGGGGAAAGAUUUAUCGGCGAAGGAUCGGCCCGCGUUGGAUUAGGUAGUUGGUGGGGUAAUGGCCUACCAAGCCGACGAUCCAUAGCUGGUUUGAGAGGAUGAUCAGCCACACUGGGACUGAGACACGGCCCAGACUCCUACGGGAGGCAGCAGUGGGGAAUCUUAGACAAUGGGGGAGACCCUGAUCGAGCCAUGCCGCGUGAGCGAUGAAGGCCUUAGGGUUGUAAAGCUCUUUCACCGGGGAAGAUAAUGACGGUACCCGGAGAAGAAGCCCCGGCUAACUCCGUG